UCAGUAACACGUAGUCAACAUGCCCAGGGGACGUGGAUAACCUCGGGAAACUGAGGAUAAACCGCGAUAGGUCAUCAUUUCUGGAGUGAUUGAUGGCCCAAAUCUAUAUGGCCUCUGGAUUGGACUGCGGCCGAUCAGGCUGUUGGUGAGGUAAUGGCCCACCAAACCUGUUACCGGUACGGGCUCUGAGAGGAGGAGCCCGGAGAUGGGCACUGAGACAAGGGCCCAGGCCCUAUGGGGCGCAGCAGGCGCGAAACCUCUGCAAUAGGCGAAAGCCUGACAGGGUUACUCUGAGUGGUUUCCGCUAAGGAAACCUUUUGGACACCUCUACAAAUGGUGCAGAAUAAGGGGUGGGCAAGUCUGGUGCCAG
This 370-nucleotide ribosomal RNA is filed under the name unidentified archaeon. RNAcentral describes it as "bacterial SSU rRNA". It matches the Rfam family "Archaeal small subunit ribosomal RNA", at positions 90 to 461 of the family's 1478-position model. The record is from RNAcentral.